RNAcentral lists this transfer RNA (68 nucleotides) under Dipodomys ordii (Ord's kangaroo rat). It matches the Rfam family "tRNA". From Rfam's summary of the family: Transfer RNA (tRNA) molecules are approximately 80 nucleotides in length. Their secondary structure includes four short double-helical elements and three loops (D, anti-codon, and T loops). Further hydrogen bonds mediate the characteristic L-shaped molecular structure. tRNAs have two regions of fundamental functional importance: the anti-codon, which is responsible for specific mRNA codon recognition, and the 3' end, to which the tRNAs corresponding amino acid is attached (by aminoacyl-tRNA synthetases). tRNAs cope with the degeneracy of the genetic code in two manners: having more than one tRNA (with a specific anti-codon) for a particular amino acid; and 'wobble' base-pairing, i.e. permitting non-standard base-pairing at the 3rd anti-codon position. Lineage: Eukaryota; Metazoa; Chordata; Mammalia; Rodentia; Heteromyidae. The record is from Rfam by way of RNAcentral.
GGGAAGGUGGCUCAGUGGUAGAGCGCUUGCCUUCCAUGCAUGAGGGCCUGGGUUUGAUUCCAUCCUCA